UCCACAUACCACUAGAAGGGAGCUCGAGUAACAUUACCACACUUUGAGAACCACUGGUAUUAGUUAGGCCUUGUCUGUGUUAGGUUUUUCUUUUUCAGCUAAUGGAGAGCAGGCAGAAGAGGGAGACUCACAAGAGCAUCGGUGGACAAAAAUGCUGGAGAACAGCAGGUUUUGUUCCGUUGGUGUUGUUUUUGUCUUUUGCAGGUUGGAGUGGAGCAGAAGAAGGGGACUUACAGGGGGAACAGUAGAGAUAUACUAUAAGACCUUGAGCUCAGGAAGCAGACUGGCAUUGAGCAUGUGGAGAAACAGGGAAACACACCUCAGUAAUGACAAGUUCAUCAUAAUAAUUUAGAGUGUGACAGAAGGGACGGCAUUCAGGUGAACAAUAUAAACAAUGUUUAUGUACAGGAUGGCAGGUGAGUAUGAGCAGGUGAGUAUAUUGAUGCAGAUGAUAAUAGUCCAUGAAAAUAAACUGGAUAUUUGACUGUGUAGGCUUGGAGACUGGAGACGAUACCACAGAUACCAAAGGCCAGAUGAGCAACCAAGAGACACCACACUAGGAGAGACAAUGGAGAUCACAGGAGACGCAAAUAACCGAUAUCUACGAAUCAACACUGAUGAUCGGCUGGACCACAUGGAGAAAAAAAGGAAUCACACACCUCAGCAACCACUGAGAAAAACCACCAAAAAUCAGAUGGACGGGUGGAUAAAUGGAUGGAUGUGCUUCCAAGAUGAAGGAGUAGUGGUUGAUAUAGAUAGCUAAUUAGGCCUUGUCUGUAUCAGGUUUUCCUUUUUCAUGUAAUGGGAGAAAGUGCAGGCAGAAGAGGAAGACUCACAAGGACCAUCUGUGGACAACUAUUAAAGUUUUUUUUAGUGCUGUCACACUAUCACAGGAGACAUUGGCUUAACCACAUGGAGAAAAAAAGCAAUCACACACCUCAGCAAUGACUGCAUUGUAGGAAUUUAUUUUUUUUUAAAUUAGUGGGACGGGUGCAUCAAUGGACGUCCUUCCAAGAUGAAGGAGUGGUGGUUGGUAUAGAUAGUUAAUUAGGCCUUGUCUGUGUCAGUUUUUUUCUUUUUCAGGUAAUGGAGAGAGAGCAGGCAGAAGAUGGAGACUCACAAGAGCAUCAGUGGACAUUGAUUUAAAAAAUGCUGGAGGACAGCAGGUAGGGCUCUGUCAGUGCUGUCUAUACAGGAGGUGUGUCCCAAAUUGCAUUCUUAUGCACUAUUUUACACCAUUUUGUA
Molecule: non-coding RNA, 1245 nt
Organism: Danio rerio (zebrafish)
Lineage: Eukaryota; Metazoa; Chordata; Actinopteri; Cypriniformes; Danionidae
Source: RefSeq, a predicted model, not a curated record